GCGAGCGGCGGAUGGGUGAGUAACACGUGGGGAACCUGCCCCUAAGUCUGGGAUACCAUUUGGAAACAGGUGCUAAUACCGGAUAAUAAAGCAGAUCGCAUGAUCAGCUUUUGAAAGGCGGCGUAAGCUGUCGCUAAGGGAUGGCCCCGCGGUGCAUUAGCUAGUUGGUAAGGUAACGGCUUACCAAGGCGACGAUGCAUAGCCGAGUUGAGAGACUGAUCGGCCACAUUGGGACUGAGACACGGCCCAAACUCCUACGGGAGGCAGCAGUAGGGAAUCUUCCACAAUGGACGCAAGUCUGAUGGAGCAACGCCGCGUGAGUGAAGAAGGUUUUCGGAUCGUAAAGCUCUGUUGUUGGUGAAGAAGGAUAGAGGUAGUAACUGGCCUUUAUUUGACGGUAAUCAACCAGAAAGUCACGGCUAACUACGUGCCAGCAGCCGCGGUAAUACGUAGGUGGCAAGCGUUGUCCGGAUUUAUUGGGCGUAAAGCGAGCGCAGGCGGAAAAAUAAGUCUAAUGUGAAAGCCCUCGGCUUAACCGAGGAACUGCAUCGGAAACUGUUUUUCUUGAGUGCAGAAGAGGAGAGUGGAACUCCAUGUGUAGCGGUGGAAUGCGUAGAUAUAUGGAAGAACACCAGUGGCGAAGGCGGCUCUCUGGUCUGCAACUGACGCUGAGGCUCGAAAGCAUGGGUAGCGAAACAGGAUUAGAUACCC
Molecule: ribosomal RNA, 711 nt
Filed under: uncultured bacterium
Lineage: Bacteria
Description: bacterial SSU rRNA
Rfam family: Bacterial small subunit ribosomal RNA
Source: RNAcentral